AUUAUUAUUUUUACUUUCAGUGCCCCACAACCUGAAGGCGGACAUUUUUAGAAUUACACUAAUAUAUAAUAAUUUAGAGGUCAGGUAAAUCAGAUAUAAUACAGUAGGCUUUAUAGAGUUAACUAGACACAGCAUCUUAAAUCUGUGGGCAAAAAAGUGUGUGAGACACAGCACAACAAUCAUAGACUUUCUAUUACUUUCUUUCUAUGCAUAACGUAAUAGGGUACAAUUGAGUACAGAAGAUGCUUUUGGAAGACUAUUCAUUUUUACAUGCAUCAUGACUAACCAGAGGAGACAGAUAUAAUGAUUGUUUGAUGGCAUAUUGAAAACACAUUCUUUUCACACUGAGCCAGAACACAACAAAUAACAUGUCAUGACAGCAGCAUACAGGAUUAGUUCAAAUCAUAAUUCUUAGUCCACAGGCAAAGAGGAUUCCACUGAGAUCAACACCUUUCUUUCAUAUAUGAGCUGUCAGCUGUCUUGUAAAUCUUUUAUGUCUAGCUUGAUCUUUAGCAUUUUGUUGGGUUUAAUGCCAGUCAAAACAAGUCGAUGACAGUUUCAUUUAAUAUAAAGCACAUUUGCUGAAGUCAGUCUUCUAUUAUUACAACCUGUCAUGAAUUUGUUAGUCACUGUCAGAAUUCUGCUUUAAAAAAAAUUAAAAAGAAGGCCAGCAAAAGUCAUGUGCACUCCACAUACACACACACACAAACACACACUUAUGAGCAUCUGUUCAGUGUUUGUUCAUUUAAAGCAGGAGGAUACAAAUGAAUUCUUCCUGUUGACCUACUUCCAGAGUAGGUUAUACAGAAAAACAGAUGCUAACAAGUGCAUUUGCACACCCAUAAAUGAAGUCUGAAUUAAAUAUGUAUUAAUACCCUACCUGAUAUUUGUUUGCAUUUCCAAAGUAAUGAACUAAAACCAGUACCUCAUCAAAAAUUCCCUGCCAGCGAUCUGUCGUCUGCAGUGUUUUUUCAGGGCUAAUAAUGAUAGAGUACACCUGCAGCUGG
Long non-coding RNA from Cyprinus carpio carpio, 1007 nucleotides. The record is from Ensembl. Lineage: Eukaryota; Metazoa; Chordata; Actinopteri; Cypriniformes; Cyprinidae.